AACGAACGCUGGCGGCAUGCCUAACACAUGCAAGUCGAACGAGACCUUCGGGUCUAGUGGCGCACGGGUGCGUAACGCGUGGGAACCUGCCCUUAGGUUCGGAAUAACUCCCCGAAAGGGGUGCUAAUACCGGAUAAUGUCUUCGGACCAAAGAUUUAUCGGCUUUGGAUGGGCCCGCGUUGGAUUAGCUAGUUGGUAGGGUAAAAGCCUACCAAGGCGACGAUCCAUAGCUGGUCUGAGAGGAUGAUCAGCCACACUGGGACUGAGACACGGCCCAGACUCCUACGGGAGGCAGCAGUGGGGAAUAUUGGACAAUGGGCGAAAGCCUGAUCCAGCAAUGCCGCGUGAGUGAUGAAGGCCUUAGGGUUGUAAAGCUCUUUUACCCGGGAUGAUAAUGACGGUACCGGGAGAAUAAGCUCCGGCUAACUCCGUG
Molecule: ribosomal RNA, 433 nt
Filed under: uncultured bacterium
Lineage: Bacteria
Description: partial 16S ribosomal RNA
Rfam family: Bacterial small subunit ribosomal RNA
Source: RNAcentral